RNAcentral lists this ribosomal RNA (253 nucleotides) under uncultured bacterium. RNAcentral describes it as "partial 16S ribosomal RNA". It matches the Rfam family "Bacterial small subunit ribosomal RNA", at positions 524 to 776 of the family's 1533-position model. The record is from RNAcentral.
UACGAAGGGGGCUAGCGUUGCUCGGAAUCACUGGGCGUAAAGGGUGCGUAGGCGGGUCUUUAAGUCAGGGGUGAAAUCCUGGAGCUCAACUCCAGAACUGCCUUUGAUACUGAAGAUCUUGAGUCCGGGAGAGGUGAGUGGAACUGCGAAUGUAGAGGUGAAAUUCGUAGAUAUUCGCAAGAACACCAGUGGCGAAGGCGGCUCACUGGCCCGGUACUGACGCUGAGGCACGAAAGCGUGGGGAGCAAACAGG